AUUGAACGCUGGCGGCAUGCCUUACACAUGCAAGUCGAACGGCAGCAUGGGUGCUUGCACCUGAUGGCGAGUGGCGAACGGGUGAGUAAUGCAUCGGAACGUACCCGGAAGUGGGGGAUAACGUAGCGAAAGUUACGCUAAUACCGCAUAUUCUGUGAGCAGGAAAGCGGGGGAUCGCAAGACCUCGCGCGAAUGGAGCGGCCGAUAUCAGAUUAGGUAGUUGGUGGGGUAAAGGCUCACCAAGCCAACGAUCUGUAGCUGGUCUGAGAGGACGACCAGCCACACUGGAACUGAGACACGGUCCAGACUCCUACGGGAGGCAGCAGUGGGGAAUUUUGGACAAUGGGCGCAAGCCUGAUCCAGCCAUUCCGCGUGCAGGAUGAAGGCCUUCGGGUUGUAAACUGCUUUUGUACGGUAACGAAACGGUCUGCCCUAAUACGGUGGCUAAUGACGGUACCGUAAGAAUAAGCACCGGCUAACUACGUGCACG
Molecule: ribosomal RNA, 490 nt
Filed under: uncultured bacterium
Lineage: Bacteria
Description: bacterial SSU rRNA
Rfam family: Bacterial small subunit ribosomal RNA
Source: RNAcentral